AAAAAAAAAAAAAAAAAGGAAAAAGAAAAUGACAGCAAACAACCUGUAUAGCAGCAUAAAUAAAAUUUUUCUGACCCUAAAUUUUCUCCUCUCUGAAGAUCCUCUGAUCAACAGCUUCCAAAAAAAAUAAAAAUCCCCAUUUUUAAUUUUUGUUAUCCAUUCCCUGUUUGAUCCCUCUGAUCCAGGCACAAACUCUGUGACCAUCAAUCUUUUAUGGGUUUUAACAGCUAAGCUUGUUGUUGAAAAUUGACACAAUAUAUGUAUGUUAAGAUCCACAUAAAAACUAUUGCUUUCUUGUCUUUGUGGGACAAAAAAAAAAGUUCAGCCUAUACCUUUUGCAGGUUUGUUACAUAUUAAUGGGGUCCAGCCCUUGUUGAGCUUGUGGGGGUUAUUAUAAUAUCAAGAAUUGGGGUUGUGGGUUUUGAAUAUAAGCAAAAAUUGGAGCUGAGGUUUGGAUUUUUGAUGAAUAUAUUGUUUGCUGGUUCUUUUGGAUAAAAUAUGUAAACACCAAUAAAGGGAAAUAAGAAAAAGACUCAAUUUUUAUCAAGAUUAGACCUUUUUUAUUUUAUUUUUUGGUAUUAUACAUGUAAUUUUAUUGAAAUUGUAUGCAAAAAGAAAAAAAGAAAAAGCUUGUUGGAAACCUUCUGUUGAGGGGGAUGGUGGUGUAGGGAAGUGGGUUGAGGGUUGAUGGUUUAAUGUGGCACAGAUAUGAUGGAGAAUUUUCUGUGGGAACAAUACAAGCAAAUAAUUUGGUGAAGGAUCAGAGCCAGCUUGAAUCAUGUCCUUAUUGAAUAUUUGUUGGUGUCUAUGAUGGACAUGGAGGACCAGAGACGUCUCGUUUCGUAAACAACACUUUGUUCUCCAAUCUUAAGAGUGUCUUUGGUCGGAUAUUGCCAAGAAUGCUAAUCACUCCCACUGCCGGAAAAUGAAUCACCACCUUUUGCCUAUAUGUAACAUGUAAAUAGCACUCUCAUAUAUGUAGAGAAUGUUGCGCUUUAGUAUGCUGUUUUCCUGCCAUGGAGUUCCAACCAGUUUGUGGCACAAAUGAUAAAAGGAGAUUAAGGGCCUUUUAUUCACACCUCUUGAAGUACAUGUAUGCCUGUAUUCUCCUGUUGUGCAUGCUUGCAUCUGAUUUCUAUGUUAUUUCAGAGGAUUCAUGUCCUUUCACUUCAGGGAUUGCAAGUUGGAAGUCACAACUAUCAACUCCCAUGAAUAUGUUGUAGGAGUUCUUGUGAUGGUUGCUCUUCCAAAUGUAUAGAAAUUUGUUGCAGAGUCUUAAACCUAUUAAACAAUGCUACAAACAAGUUAAAGAUUCAAUGCCUAAUAGUGCAGAUAAAGAAUAUAUGAAAGUUCAAUGCGCACAAAGCAAGACCUUAGCGACGCUCUUCAGGUAACGUAAAUAGGAUUUCUUGAACUAUGAGGCUUCUUUGUCUUCGCGCUUCAUUGCAUAUUUCUACUAUAUUAGAAGCGUGGGUUGAGAGGUGGAAUCGACAUGUGUGUUCUUUGUCAAUAAAAGUAGAGUUGAUGGCAAUUUGGUCAUUAUCUGUAGAUUAGCUGGUGUUCUAGUGAACGCUUAUUUUAUGCACUGAAUGCUUUUCUUUUUUCUAUGUGGCUUUUAUUCUGUCGGCGGCCUGUGCAUAGCGGUAGAAAAAUCAACUCAACUCUCUCCUUAUCUUUCCUUACUUUUUAGAAUUCUGUUCCGACUUCUCCAAAAUAGUUUGCUGGGGUUAGAGUUAUCGGGAUUUGCUGAAAAUCAGAACCAAAUAGAAUGAAUCCUUGGUUUUAGAAAAAGGACCAAAGGUCUAACCAAAGGAAAAAUGGAACAUCCUAUUUCCUGCUACUGCUAAACCAUCACUUCAUUUCAUUAUAUUCUAAUCCAAACCCAAUUCAAUUAAAGAGACUAACUUAAGAGUAGAAAACUGCUAUAAACAGAAUCUCAUUUUAUGUUUGAAUUUGUCUCUGGAGACUUACAGGUUAGUAUUUGUGCCCUGGGGGAUUUGCCUCUUCUUCUUCCUCCGUCAUAUUGACCACGAUAGGAAAAAAAAUCCUGAAGGUCACUUUAUGUUCUGUCAAUCAUUUUGUCUAUCUUUAAGCUUUCUUGUGUUUUAGAUUGAAGUUGUGGAGUUGGCCUAAAACUACCUUUAACAAGGUAGUUUGUUCUAAUUCUGAAGAGUUAACUGAAAACCAGAGGCAAUUAGACAGAUGAAAAGUGUGGUGAGCAAGAUAAAGAGUAGAUCAUUGGACGCCUUCAGAGUUUUCCUGAAAUUCUAUGUUCGUUAUGAGAGAGCAUGUGGAACAGGAUUGUAGUUCAAAGAAUGUCUAGCAGAAGCAUUUAGGCUCUGGUUACAACUAAAUUAAUUUUCGAUUGGUUGUUUUCAGCUAAUGUUGGCGUCACUACUAAAAUGGGCAGAAUUGCAAAGCAAAUAAAGGUAUGUAUCUUGAGAUUUGAGUUUCUUAUAAACAAAAAAUUCUGCUGGAUCCUACUUCAUCAUAUGAUUAAAGUCUGCCUUAGUCACUCUUUCUCAACCAUUGCCAUCCAAACAGGGCUUCAGAUCUUGAAUAGCCAGUGGGUUGCCUUAGAUGGGUUAUUACAUUGAUGAUUCACCUACUAAUAUGAUUAGGUAAAUACAUAUUGCAAACUUAGUGCAUAACGAUUCCAUUAUUGAUGAUUCACCUACCAAUAUGAUUAGGUAAAUACAUAUUGCAAACUUGGUGCAUAAUGAUUCCAUUUAUUGUGACUGGUGCAAUGGACCACGGAACAUCAACUCCAUUCCACAACACGCUUUUACAUGAGUAGUAUUCUUAUGUUGAUGUACUACUAAAACUAUUUUCUGCUUACAGUUAUCACGUCGGGAAAUUUUGGAGUCUUAUGUGAAGGGUUGGUUGUCCAAGCAUUCUGGCCAUCCAUAUAUAGUUGAAUAUGCUGCCAAUUUCGCUGUAGCACAUGAUUUUGGUAGUCCUGGAGCUGUCAUUGUUACAAGUCUCCUUGACAAAAAGAUACACCUAGCACAGAUUGUUGUUCAUGGCUUUAAUGAAAGUUGUUGAUUCUUUAUCUUUAGUGCUAAUACAUGGAUUCACUCUCAAAAAGAUAAUCCAGGAAGUAGAAUUAUCUUCCAAAAUCAGGUAAGCGACAUACUUUCAAAUGAUUUUACUUCUCAUUUUGAUUAUCAUGCAUAUCUAUCAUCUCAAGAGGAUCCUGCUAAGAUUUAAAAUUGUUCAAUUAUGGGAGAAAGUUUAGUCUCACCGUAAGACGAAGUUAAAUAAAAUGACGACAGCCUAAAAGUUGUGUCAUUGUCUGGGUAAGGAAUAGCCUAUGAGAUUUUAGAUAGUAAUAUUAUGUCUGCAGUGAUUUAGAAUAUAUCACAUGUGAAGAAAAAAAAUGUGAUAUUUGAGAAGUCUCAUGUAAGCAUUCAA
Lycium ferocissimum is the source of this 3414-nucleotide RNA transcript. RefSeq lists it as uncharacterized. The transcript has 4 exons. The record is from RefSeq and is a predicted model, not a curated record. NCBI's taxonomy places the organism in Eukaryota, Viridiplantae, Streptophyta, Magnoliopsida, Solanales, Solanaceae.